Molecule: long non-coding RNA, 1610 nt
Filed under: Setaria italica (foxtail millet)
Lineage: Eukaryota; Viridiplantae; Streptophyta; Magnoliopsida; Poales; Poaceae
Description: long non-coding RNA (SITA_LNC004357)
Source: RNAcentral
CGAGGGGCUUCAUGUGGAGACCAUGACGAUGUAGAGGAGUUUGCCAGUGCUGCUGCCUGUGGAAGUUUCUUUUUUUGGCACACAAGGAAUGCUCUCCUUAGCUAGAGUCGUAUUUACUACUGUAAAAAGAAUAUAUAAAGUGAGAAAAAUUUAAAAGUCAGCCUAAACAUUGUCAUAUUUUAAUGCAGGAAGUAAAUAGUAAUGAGCAAAAAAAAAGAAGAAUAAUAUUUACUGUCAAAAGGGAGGAGAGAAUUUACAGUCACCUAAUUUUUGCAGGCACUUCCCAAUUCCCACCCACUGAAUGUUACUGAGUGGAUUUAGUGGUUUCUAUCACUAAAACUAGCCACUAACAAGAUGAAAGCAGCAGCAGUGCAGAUGCAAAAUAGCAAUGCCCGUGGUGGUGAUGGCCGCAUUUGUGGCACUCCAGAGUAGCAGCAGUGCAGGUGCACCGUCCAGUUCAGUCAGAUAGAUGAGCGUCAGUUGAUUUCCGAGGGCAAGGCAGAUCAAGCUGGCAAUGCAACAUGCAGGCAGAGGUAGCCAACAAUGCAGCCCUUUCAAUUAGAGGUACUGGUCAGUGCAGCUGACAAAAGCACACCAGUAGUAUGCAAGUUCAGAGGUGGUCACUUGAGUUUCAGAUUUGGAACACUUUUGCCUCUUUCUAAAAAUGAGCAGUAAGUAAAAUUGGUGCAAUGGAUUGUUUGCCUGGCGUCUUACUGCCUAUUCUAGCAUAAUUGACCUGAACGCCCCUAAGGUUGAGCAUAGCUCAUGUUUGUUCUGAAUACAGGGAGUCAAUAAGUCUUAUAUAUUUUGUGUUUGCUAAAUAAAAAUUAUAUUACAAUACUACCAAAUGCAUAUAAAUAGAAAGAUAAUAAAUUAACCAAAUGAUAGAUCGGUCUAGUCCGAAACAUCUGUUGGAAACACGCCGGAGUAACUCCGAAACGUCUGUUGGAAACAUGCCGGAGUAACGACUCCCAGGUCGCCGGCGAGUCUCCUGGCCAAAGCACAGGGACACACACGCACACACAGGUAGACACUGAAUUGGUGCUUGCUAACUUGGCCCUCUUCCUUGGCCUUUAUGCCUUGUAUUUAUAGACUAUUACAAGGAAAGUAAUCAGGGCUUCAAUCAGCCCGAUGCACACAGCCACACAAUUGCUAACUGUCUAUUUGCCAGGGCUGUCAUGGAACAUUACAUUUCUGUAGAUGAUCAACAACCAUUACCAUGAGUUACCAUUACAACAAUAUGCUCCUGUCGUCCAACAUACACAAGAUGCACUUACAGUACAGAGCAGAAUAAUGGGAAGCCUUCACACUUCACACUAGUGUAGCUAACAAAAUUGAAGGCACAUGAGAUCUUACUGCCUACUCUACCAAAAUUGACUCAAUUACGCACGAUAUAAGAGGUUACUGCCUAAUGUAAGGCAAAAGAGAUCUUACCCCCAGGUUCUCUGUUGAGAUGCACAAAAUCUAGCAGCAUACAAAUGUAGAUCGAGAAUGGAGAGGAUUGGCGGAGCUGGGUGGACCGGCGAUGGUGGGACGGAGCGGCGGGGCGGAGGUCGGCGGGGGCGUGGCUGGCCGGCGCCGGGUGAGGGGCGGAGCUGGAUCGGGCGCGG